CGGACCUUUAUUUCGUGGAGUGGCGACAAGAAGCCAAGGCGGGUGGCCAGUCUAAGAAGCCUCCAUCAUCAAGCUAGCAGAAAUCCUACCUCUCCUUCUGGCUACAGAGUACUUACCAAGCCCAUGAAAUCGAAUGCAGAUCUUCCUAAUGUGAGAUUUACAUAAAUAUGUCAAAGUCUCAACCUCAUGCUGCCCUCCCCCAUCCUCCUAAACCUGUGGAUACAAAUGCAGAUUUCCUUAAUGUAAGUUGUGCAUUUUAAUUACAUCAUGUUAUUUUUAUUAUUAUUUAUUUAUUUAUUUUAUUUUACAUUCAAAUAUUUCAAGCUUCUUGGUUAAAGAAGCUUGAUUGCUAGUAGGUAAAGAAUAGUUCACCUAUAAUUCAUAUUCCCAA
Maylandia zebra (zebra mbuna) is the source of this 391-nucleotide non-coding RNA. The record is from RefSeq and is a predicted model, not a curated record. Lineage: Eukaryota; Metazoa; Chordata; Actinopteri; Cichliformes; Cichlidae.